This 253-nucleotide ribosomal RNA is filed under the name uncultured bacterium. RNAcentral's name for it is "partial 16S ribosomal RNA". It matches the Rfam family "Bacterial small subunit ribosomal RNA", at positions 524 to 776 of the family's 1533-position model. The record is from RNAcentral.
UACGGAGGGUGCAAGCGUUAUCCGGAUUCACUGGGUUUAAAGGGUGCGUAGGCGGGCUUGUAAGUCAGUGGUGAAAGCCCGGGGCUCAACUCCGGAACUGCCGUUGAUACUGCAAGUCUUGAGUACACUUGAGGUGGGCGGAAUACAUCAUGUAGUGGUGAAAUACUUAGAUAUGAUGUAGAACACCGAUUGCGAAGGCAGCUCACUAAAUUGUAACUGACGCUGAGGCACGAAAGCGUGGGGAUCAAACAGG